RNAcentral lists this ribosomal RNA (719 nucleotides) under Escherichia coli. Its description in RNAcentral is "partial 23S ribosomal RNA". It matches the Rfam family "Bacterial large subunit ribosomal RNA", at positions 517 to 1238 of the family's 2925-position model. Lineage: Bacteria; Pseudomonadati; Pseudomonadota; Gammaproteobacteria; Enterobacterales; Enterobacteriaceae. The record is from RNAcentral.
AAAAGAACCCCGGCGAGGGGAGUGAAAAAGAACCUGAAACCGUGUACGUACAAGCAGUGGGAGCCUCUUAAUGGGGUGACUGCGUACCUUUUGUAUAAUGGGUCAGCGACUUAUAUUCUGUAGCAAGGUUAACCGAAUAGGGGAGCCGAAGGGAAACCGAGUCUUAACUGGGCGUUAAGUUGCAGGGUAUAGACCCGAAACCCGGUGAUCUAGCCAUGGGCAGGUUGAAGGUUGGGUAACACUAACUGGAGGACCGAACCGACUAAUGUUGAAAAAUUAGCGGAUGACUUGUGGCUGGGGGUGAAAGGCCAAUCAAACCGGGAGAUAGCUGGUUCUCCCCGAAAGCUAUUUAGGUAGCGCCUCGUGAAUUCAUCUCCGGGGGUAGAGCACUGUUUCGGCAAGGGGGUCAUCCCGACUUACCAACCCGAUGCAAACUGCGAAUACCGGAGAAUGUUAUCACGGGAGACACACGGCGGGUGCUAACGUCCGUCGUGAAGAGGGAAACAACCCAGACCGCCAGCUAAGGUCCCAAAGUCAUGGUUAAGUGGGAAACGAUGUGGGAAGGCCCAGACAGCCAGGAUGUUGGCUUAGAAGCAGCCAUCAUUUAAAGAAAGCGUAAUAGCUCACUGGUCGAGUCGGCCUGCGCGGAAGAUGUAACGGGGCUAAACCAUGCACCGAAGCUGCGGCAGCGACACUAUGUGUUGUUGGGUAGGGGAGCG